RNAcentral lists this unclassified non-coding RNA (370 nucleotides) under uncultured Alphaproteobacteria bacterium. RNAcentral's name for it is "contains 16S-23S intergenic spacer region". The record is from RNAcentral. Lineage: Bacteria; Pseudomonadati; Pseudomonadota; Alphaproteobacteria.
UCCGGUUUGUCACCGGCAGUCCCCCUAGAGUGCCCAACUGAAUGAUGGCAACUAAGGGCGAGGGUUGCGCUCGUUGCGGGACUUAACCCAACAUCUCACGACACGAGCUGACGACAGCCAUGCAGCACCUGUGUGCAGGUCCCCGAAGGGAAGGAAUCCAUCUCUGGAAGCCGUCCUGCCAUGUCAAGGGCUGGUAAGGUUCUGCGCGUUGCUUCGAAUUGAACCACAUGCUCCACCGCUUGUGCGGGCCCCCGCCAAUUCCUUUGAGUUUUAAUCUUGCGACCGUACUCCCCAGGCGGAAUGCUUAAUGCGUUAGCUGCGCCACCGACGGCAUCGAAUUAAUCCACAUAAUCCACCGCUUGUGCGGGUC